AAAAUUAAAAGGACGCGGUAACCUUGACCGUGAUAAUGUAGCAUAAUCAUUCGCCAUUUAAUUGAUGGAUAGUAUGAAUGGUUGAACGAAUAUUCCACUGUCUUAAAAAGAAAUAACAAAAAAUUAGAAUAAUAGUAAAGAUUCUAUUUAAAAUUGUAAGACGAAAAGACCCUAUAGAGCUUAACUAUAAAUUUUCUACGUAAAUAGUUAUAAAAGAAAAUUUGGUAGUUUAGUUGGGGCGACUGUCUUUUAAAAAUAACAAAGACAAGCAAAAUUAAUAAUAAAAAAUUUUAUUGUAUAAUAAAUAAAUUUAACAAUUACAAAAGUAGGCUAUAAUGACCCGUUACUAUUAAAUAAAAAAAGUAACGAUCAAUAAAUAAAAGCUACCUUAGGGAUAACAGGAUAAUUUUAUUCUAGAGAUCUAAUCGAAAAUAAAGUUUGUCACCUCUAUGUUGAAUUAAGA
RNAcentral lists this ribosomal RNA (463 nucleotides) under Sertularella ellisii. RNAcentral's name for it is "partial 16S ribosomal RNA". It matches the Rfam family "Bacterial large subunit ribosomal RNA", at positions 1919 to 2542 of the family's 2925-position model. The record is from RNAcentral. Lineage: Eukaryota; Metazoa; Cnidaria; Hydrozoa; Leptothecata; Sertulariidae.